ACAAUGGAGAGUUUGAUCCUGGCUCAGGAUGAACGCUAGCGGCAGGCCUAACACAUGCAAGUCGAGGGGCAUCGGGAUUGAAGCUUGCUUCAAUUGCCGGCGACCGGCGCACGGGUGCGU
RNAcentral lists this ribosomal RNA (120 nucleotides) under Alistipes onderdonkii. Its description in RNAcentral is "partial 16S ribosomal RNA". It matches the Rfam family "Bacterial small subunit ribosomal RNA", at positions 1 to 111 of the family's 1533-position model. The record is from RNAcentral. Lineage: Bacteria; Pseudomonadati; Bacteroidota; Bacteroidia; Bacteroidales; Rikenellaceae. RNAcentral also lists the same sequence under 1 other name.